Small nucleolar RNA from Labeo rohita (rohu), 131 nucleotides. RefSeq annotates it as small nucleolar RNA SNORA55. The record is from RefSeq and is a predicted model, not a curated record. NCBI's taxonomy places the organism in Eukaryota, Metazoa, Chordata, Actinopteri, Cypriniformes, Cyprinidae. The transcript has a single exon.
GCACAACAGCAAACCACAUCCUGCUUCUUCACAGCUGGUAGUGGGUUAAAAAUGUGCUAUAGUAACUCAUAGUGUAUCCAGACGGGUCUCCUCAUCUGUUGGAGCUUGUCUCUACAAACUAUGAUACAUGU